UACGUAGGGGGCAAGCGUUGUCCGGAUUCAUUGGGCGUAAAGCGCGUGUAGGCGGCCAGGUAGGUCCGACGUGAAAACUGGAGGCUCAACCUCCAGCUGUCGUUGGAAACCAUCUGGCUAGAGUCCGGAAGAGGAGAGUGGAAUUCCUGGUGUAGCGGUGAAAUGCGCAGAUAUCAGGAAGAACACCAAUGGCGAGGGCAGCUCUCUGGGACGGUACUGACGCUGAGACGCGAAAGCGUGGGGAGCGAACAGG
RNAcentral lists this ribosomal RNA (253 nucleotides) under uncultured bacterium. RNAcentral's name for it is "partial 16S ribosomal RNA". It matches the Rfam family "Bacterial small subunit ribosomal RNA", at positions 524 to 776 of the family's 1533-position model. The record is from RNAcentral.